RNAcentral lists this ribosomal RNA (498 nucleotides) under uncultured bacterium. RNAcentral describes it as "partial 16S ribosomal RNA". It matches the Rfam family "Bacterial small subunit ribosomal RNA", at positions 30 to 523 of the family's 1533-position model. The record is from RNAcentral.
AUUGAACGCUGGCGGCAUGCCUUACACAUGCAAGUCGAACGGUAACAGGUUUUCGGAUGCUGACGAGUGGCGAACGGGUGAGUAAUACAUCGGAACGUGCCUAGUAGUGGGGGAUAACUACUCGAAAGAGUGGCUAAUACCGCAUGAGAUCUACGGAUGAAAGCAGGGGAUCGCAAGACCUUGUGCUACUAGAGCGGCCGAUGGCAGAUUAGGUAGUUGGUGGGAUAAAAGCUUACCAAGCCGACGAUCUGUAGCUGGUCUGAGAGGACGAUCAGCCACACUGGGACUGAGACACGGCCCAGACUCCUACAGGAGGCAGCAGUGGGGAAUUUUGGACAAUGGGCGAAAGCCUGAUCCAGCAAUGCCGCGUGCAGGAUGAAGGCCUUCGGGUUGUAAACUGCUUUUGUACGGAACGAAAAGCCCCGGGUUAAUACCUUGGGGUCAUGACGGUACCGUAAGAAUAAGCACCGGCUAACUACGUGCCAGCCGCCGCGGUAA